CUUGUUAUGGAAGUUUGACCUGGAGAACACGUGCAUUGACCUAUGAAACAUCAAACACGUGCAUUUUUUCAUGAAAGAGUAUUAUUCUCAAGAAAGUCCAUAAAAUGGUUCCAACCACCAAAUUUGGCCUCGGACUAUCGAGCCAAAGUUAACAGUCUCGUAGGGAUGACGAUCCAAAUCUUUUGAAAAUGGCGCCUUUCCUGAGUUUCCUCCAGUAACAGUGAUGGAGUUUUGUGGAUCCAGUAGCAGAUCAAUUCGUUGAUUCCUAACACCGGCGGCGCCGCGGCGCAUCCAUUUGGUUUCUUAUCACUGAUCUUUUGAUGGAGGCCGCUGUUUGUGUGCUUAGUUCACCAUUUUUGGUACAAGGUACAUUCGUGUUCUUCUUGUUGUAGUAGUACAUGCUAGUAUUUGUUUUGGUAGUAUAAAUAAAUUUCCUGCCAUUUUCUCAAGGGAAAAAAAUCGUCAAAGCCUUUUGAGUAAGACUAUCCAUACCAAAUAACUGAAAAGAUGAGAGAGUACAGGAAUUGGUCCCGAGGGGAGCUCGACUCGUGUCGUCAUCAAAGCAAAAGAAUUGCUCCGAUCUCCCUCUAAAAGGGCGGCUCCACCCUCCUUUGCCAUGGCUCUGGGGAUCAAAGACGAAUCCCAAAUCCAACUACAACUUGAAUGGAGAAGUGUUAGCGUUUCUGAGAUUCCCCUUAAAGUUGGUUGGGUCAAUGUUUACAGGUUCAUCUGAGCAUGAGAUGCGGAAAGGCAGUGGGGUAUAUUGAAUUCGACCAUCCGAAGUAUGUCCCCAUGGCUAUCGAUCUCUCUGGCCAGCUACUUGUUGGGGAACGUAUAGAAAUUAAACCUCUGAAUGCUGAUGGGAACCCGUCUUCUGCAGGGGAAAGAUGUCAUGCUCUUACAGGUAAAAACAAUUGUUUGGAUAAGCCUUGGCAUCUGAUGACUUCUGAUGAGAGAAUUGAUUCAUCCACUGACUGGAGAGAACCUCAUCGAUGUAGAUGAUCGGAGGGUCUUCUACAACAAGAUCACGGGGGAACGCUGGAGGACAAUACCCAAUGAUUUAUGGAGGGCCCGUCUUAAAGCUUGUUGUUAUAAAUAUAUAUAUGGUAGCCCGCGUCGGCCCCGGACUUUGCAUCAGCACGAGACUUGGCAGCAGGGUCGGGUUCGUGAGAAUGUAAUGACAUGGAGUUCUCCUCAGCAGCAGCAGCAGCAGCAGUAUGAUACCCACGUUCGGCCUCCGCAACAGGAUUGGCCUCAGCCCCAGCAUCCGGUUUGAGGCCUCCUCAGCCGCAGCAGCUGGGGUGGCCUCAGCAGUAGUUUCUACUAUUGGAAUAGAUUGAUAAUCCUAACUGCUUAAUAAAAUAUGCAAAUUGAGAGUGGAUGAUCCAUGGUUUUACUAGGUUUAACUCGGGUUUUUCAGUGUUUGUGCCUGACUCUGAGUGUGUUGGCCAGUUGUAUCAUUUUCUCCUGCCCUUGACGUAUUGUGCUUGAAAUGUUAUAGCAUCCAACUCAA
Long non-coding RNA from Rhododendron vialii, 1513 nucleotides. RefSeq lists it as uncharacterized. The transcript is spliced from 2 exons. NCBI's taxonomy places the organism in Eukaryota, Viridiplantae, Streptophyta, Magnoliopsida, Ericales, Ericaceae. The record is from RefSeq and is a predicted model, not a curated record.